Mirounga angustirostris (Northern elephant seal) is the source of this 4892-nucleotide RNA transcript. It is a transcript of the gene named ubiquitin conjugating enzyme E2 G1, with no coding region annotated. NCBI's taxonomy places the organism in Eukaryota, Metazoa, Chordata, Mammalia, Carnivora, Phocidae. The record is from RefSeq and is a predicted model, not a curated record. The transcript is spliced from 7 exons.
UUCAGGGCCCCGCGAGGGCUGAAGUUUCUUCUCGCUCUGUAGCAGUUCCGAGAACCCGCCCCGAGAGCCAGACGGAGGGGCCGCUCGCGGUGGUUCACUCCCCCCCAAGGCGAGAGACACCUCCGAGCCUGUCCUUAGAGAAACGGAGUCCGCUUCGGGCGCCCCGCCCGGCUUGUUCCCCGGAGGGGCUGCAGGCAGGCUUCCCGUUCGCGGUUCUGGGGGCGCGUGAGGCCAGUCUUCUCCGUGGUUCUCCGAUCCGGACGGCGCGGACCACCGGCGCCCGGAGCCUAAGCCUUUCCCCGAGGGGAGGAGGAGCGCCGGACGGUCCCGCGUCCUCCCACGGCCCAGCUGCGGAAAUCGGCGCGGGCCGACCAGGCGCUCCGAGCGCCCCGCAGGCGCCUUUGCGGGCCGAGUUCGAGCUUGCUCGUCUCCAGCGCCCUCACUCCCAGAUCGUGAUCUGCGGUCGGCCGGUGCGUCCUAGGGGAGGAGCGGCACCCGUGGACCUCAGGAACCUUCUCGUGCGUCCCUUCCGCCCGCGAGGGGCUUGCUUGAAACGGGGCGCACCGGCAGCCAAGUUCGGCUCCGACCGCGACCGGCUCGCAGCCGCCAACAACCAGGCACCCGCACGCGGCUCCCUCGGCUGCGCGCCCCCGACCCCCGCUUCGGCCCCGACGCUCCCGACCUCUUCGUCGUGGCGUCCGCGGGCCGGCGGCCCCGCCCCGGCGUCUGUCACGCGAGACCCUCCCAAGAUGGCGGCGGCCGGGGGCGGGGCUCCGCCGCCGGGGGCGGGCCGGGGGUCGGGCCUGCGGGCGGGCCGAGCCGAGGUGGGCAGCCCCAGCGCGCCUGCGCGGAGCGGCCCUGCGUGCAGCGAGGCAGUGGCGGGGGGACGGCACCGGCGGGCCGACGGGCGGCUUGAAGCAGGGAAGCGGGCGAGCGGAGUCCCGGUGCGCGCCGCGGCCGCCCGGCGCCCUCCCCUUCCGGGUGCGAGGCGCUGUGCGGGGCCGAGCCGAGCGGACCCGCGCCGGCAGCGAGGCGCAGCUCCCGCCGCCCCGGCCCGGCCUCCCCCGGCUCCGGCGCUCCCGUCGCGGGGGCCCGCGUUCCUCGGCACAGCCGGCUCCAGGCGCCCCCGAGCCUGCGCUCGGCCUCCGAAAGCCCCGGCGCCGGCCCGGGCCCUCGGCGGGAGGAUGACGGAGCUGCAGUCGGCGCUGCUGCUGCGAAGACAGCUGGCAGAACUCAACAAAAAUCCAGUGGAAGGCUUUUCAGCAGGUUUAAUAGAUGACAAUGAUCUUUACCGGUGGGAAGUCCUUAUCAUUGGUCCCCCUGACACACUUUAUGAAGGUGGUGUUUUUAAGGCUCAUCUCACUUUCCCAAAAGAUUAUCCCCUCCGGCCUCCUAAAAUGAAAUUCAUUACAGAAAUCUGGCACCCAAAUGUUGAUAAAAAUGGUGAUGUAUGCAUUUCCAUUCUCCAUGAGCCUGGGGAAGAUAAAUAUGGUUAUGAAAAGCCAGAGGAGCGCUGGCUCCCUAUUCACACUGUGGAAACCAUCAUGAUUAGUGUCAUUUCAAUGCUGGCGGACCCUAACGGAGACUCACCUGCUAACGUUGAUGCUGCGAAAGAAUGGAGGGAAGACAGAAAUGGAGAAUUCAAAAGGAAAGUUGCCCGCUGUGUAAGAAAAAGCCAAGAGACUGCUUUUGAGUGACAUUUGUUCAACAGCUGUAACUUCAUUAUUUCAGGUACGUUGCCAUGAUAAGCACCCGAGCCCAGUCAUCUCUCUGGAUUAACUAAGAGUGGAAUCAUUUGAAAAUUGGACGUUAAAAAAUUCACAUCAAAAUCCAUGACUUAACUCAUGUCUUCUAAAAGCAGGUCUCCAAUUGAGAAACAUGGCACUGUUUUUCCUGCACUCUACCCACCUAUUGCUGGACUUCUGUUGUAACAAGUUGGCGGACGCUGGCUGGAGCUGGGCUGCAAUAGAACAUGCCAGUAUCAGAGCUGACAAGAGCCUAACAAGUGCCAACUUACAGAGGAUUACGCAUUUUGAAUUCUAAUGAACUGUUUUAACCUUCAGGAAGAAUUGUAAAGACCUGUACAUAGCACAACAUGAUCCGGAUAAUAUAUAUACUAUUCAUGUACAUCCACAAAUACACCUUGUACCAAAUAAUGCUUUCUUGUAGUAGAAUAAGAAUCGUGUAAAUUCUAAAAGAUUUUAGCAGGUUUUCUUUCCCUAUUCGUUGUUUCUUAUCAGUUUUAAAAGACUCCUUAAAGCAUGUCAGAUGAAAAACAAUUAGGAUUAAAAGUUUCCAUUUAAUUUCCUUUAAACCAUUGAGGCUUCAUUAAACUCUUUUCACUUACUAAACUUUUGUAUCUUCUUUGUUUUGACACACUCCCCUUUGCUUUUCUCUCUUCUCUCUGCCAGAAAGUUUUCACAUCAUUUAGUUCCAGUACGGAAAUACUUAAUAAGCAACUACUUGAUUUUUAACGACGACUUCAGAGGAGUGGUCAUCACUAGGUGCUUGUCGUUUGGUACUCCAGUUGCACCAUCUCUUGGCUCGGGUGUAGCAAUACCACAUUUUGGCUGUUGAGAGCUCUUGAACUCCGUCACCCCUGAGAACUAAAAAGAGUUGGUUCGGAAUUCAGCUUACUGACACUUGCCCCAGACAGUACAAAAUUCUGGUUUGGUUUUGCUUUUGCCUUCCCGUUCGUUCCUGGGCGUUCAGGUUGGAUGGAUUAGUGUGCCCAGCUGCAGGCUUUCUGCUUAACUUGUGGGUUUGCUCUUACAGACGUUGUUGACCUCCCACCCCUUUCUCCGUGGCCCUCCGAAUUUCUUUGCCUCUGUUCUUCUAUAUUGCAGAUUUUUCUCACUUACUGUACAAAGAAAUUGCGAUGUAUAUUUUCAUGUAAUUUGAUUUUGGAAUUCUGUCACCUUAUGUAGUGAGUUCUUCCAAAAUAUAAUUUUUUUCCAAUAAUUGUCAAGUUGUUGGCUCUUAUUGUAUUGAAUGAAGGUUAUAAUACUGAAUGCCAGAGAAGUGCAGUUUAGAAAAAUCUCAGGUUGAUUCCUUAUGCAAACAGACUUAAUACUUGAAAAUCCCAUGGCCAUGGCAGUGUAGUAUUGGGCUCUAUCUAGGUUCUUACGUGGAUCUCAAAGCAUUAUAGGGGUGUGAAUGCUUUGCUAUUUGACAUACAGAUUCUGUCACUGACAUAGUGCACUUGGAUUUUAUUAGUGUUUGAGCAUAAGUAUAUUUCAUAUCAUGUUUUCUAAAACAGCUUCAGGAAAUGACGAAGUGAACGUGUGCAGUGUUAAUGGGCAGGCCCAAGUUCCCCUGUGUUGGGUGUGAGGUUGGGAUUGGGAAGUGCAGUAGUUGGCCUGUAAGGGACAGAAACGGAGACAGUACCAGAUGGGACACGAUUCCGUGAGAAUCGGCGUGUCUCUGCUCUGUGGGGCUUGGAGAGAUGCUUUGGCAGAGAGUGAAAGGGUCCCUACAAGUAACCCAUCCUUGUGGACUCUGCAUGUCCUUCUUUAAGCAAAAGUAAAAUGGUUGAGGAUGUAGACACAGUAGAGAGUGAUUUUUCUAAAUCCUUGUCUGUUCUUUACUCUGAAGCAUUAUAAAAACCCAUAAAUGUGUAAUGACUGAAUGUGAAAAUUGCUUGAUUUGAUUCAUUGCAGCUGGUUUUCUUCAAGAACUUCAUUUGUGACUUCUUUUUAUUCAAAGACUGUAAAACUCGUUGCCCCAAAGUGCUGGUACUGCACACCUGCCUGGGAUUUGAAUGCAAUCCCUCUUACUCUUAAAUCAGAAACUGUUCACAUGGUUGCUGGUGGCAGAACGGAGACUGGAUUUUGCUCUCCUCUUGCUGUGAUUCUGCUAGUGAUCUGUUGAGUUAAAACCUGGGAUUUGACUCUUCAGGGAGCAGCAAAUGACCUACUAACUCAGGGACAACUCUUACUGAACUCUAAGUGCCACUUUCAUGCAGGUACUUUGGUGUAACCAUGUGUGUUUUGGGGCUAGAUCUAGGGGAGUCGAAGGGAGAGCCAGGAACCAGUGCCCCUCCCUUCAUGCUCCUUUCCACCUGGCGCCCUGGCGUGCUACAUGUGGACACACAGGCCUUGGGAGGUGGUGUGACCUGUCUCCUCUGCCAGGGGCGUCACCUGUGCCUUUCCCCGUGUUCAUCUGACAGUGUGAACUGCACGCCUCCACGUUUGAUACUAAACCACUCUCAGGUGACACUGAUCCAGGUGGCUUUUGUCCCACCAGUGCCUCAUCACUAGUGUGAGGUGAGUCCUCUCUGCUUUAGGAAAAGGAUUUUUCUCCCUAACUCUGUGCCAACUAUCAACAACAUCUAUACAGUCUUAUGGGUUUUUAGAAUUGUUGGCUGUUUCCUAAAUUGAUUCCAAGUUCUUGUAAAGGCUUUUAGAUUUCAGUCUGUGCUCAUAAUGGGAUGGAUGAUCUCAGUGGCUUUCUGGCCUCUUUUCUGUGAGUUUAAAAUCCACGUGAGAUUGGUUUCCUUGUCAUUACAAGGCGGUCUCUUUGUGAGGCGAUUCCACUGGUUCUCUGAUCACUUGGGUGUCCUGGUAUCUUUAAUGGCCUUCAUUCUCGGUUGUGAAAUUUUAUUCUAUAUGCUCACUUACCCUCUACAAAUCUGCACAUUUUGGGUUGUGGUGCCUGUGUAUCUAUUUUUGCCUGUCUGGUCUCCAGUUGGUGGAAUUACCUUCUUUGUACCUGCCACUUCUCAGCAUCUUUGAAAUUUGACAUAAUGUUGCUUCAUUCCAGCUUUUUUUAGUUCUGUAACUUGUUGAUUGUAUUUAACUAUGAGUUCUGUUGUGAUGUUUGCUGUAUUGUAAAGCACCUCCAUCAUGUGGUGGGUGCUCUGUAAAUCAAUAAAUGAUGACUUAGAGGCUGUA